UGCUGACAUAAAUGUAUUUGUUCACAUAAACCUUGGGCUUGGGCCCAGCAAAAGCAUGUAAAUAUAUUUGUCGCUCGCUUUCCCUCAUCACCAACUGUACGAGCUGCCGGUGUUUGGCUUUAAGCUUAUUUUCUGGUCUUAUUUGCUUGGAAUCUUCUGGUUUUUUGUUUUGAUAAUGGAGGUAUUUGGUCACACUAAACUGGAAGCUUCUAUGAAAGAUGUAUUGGCUGAAUCCAUAUAUCCUCUUGAUUCCCGCAUCCUCCUCGUCCCUCUUAACCAAGAGGCGGAGGAACAUAACCAUUGGCUCAAAUUUCUAGACCUUUCUAGGUGGAUGCGCGCGGGUUUGCCUGCGUUUUAUAAUUCUUAUGGACUACAAUUAUAUACUCGAGAAUUUGCAAUCGAGCUCGAUCAUCCUUUCGUACCUGUUGUGAGUGAUUUUGCUGUAGCUGCUUUCAACGAGCUGUGCAGGAUGUAUGUAAAGAAGGGUGUUGAGGACAAUAUCUAUGAAGCCGAAGUGACAAAUGUCAAUUACACCAUCAACGUUUAUGGAUAUAAAUUUAUAAUAACAUUAGAGGCCUUGGAAGAAGAUGCCGUUGGUGUUUAUGAAGCGACCGUCCUAUGUCAUUGUAGUGAUGGCCGAAGAACACUCUUAAAAUUCAUUCGCUUGCCCUGUCCACCUGUUGGUAGGAAAUUUAAAGGGAUGACUGAGCUGGUCCGUGAGAAAUCCAUGUGUCAAGCUGGAAAGAGCAAAAGAAGGCCAUUAAAACUGAACUGAAAAUAAGAUGCAAUGCUAUGAUCUAUUGUUGUUCAUUCGUAUAGUUAUAAUUUUCUUUCUUACACGCAUUCUUUAUAUUGUUUAUCACAAUUCUUGACUGGCUCCUGGUGGUUGGGUGUGCAGACCGGAAGAAAGCAAUUAAGUCUGAACUAAAAAUAAGACGGAAAGCUAUGAAAGGUAAGAAGAGAUUCAGUGAAUCAUCUGAGUUAAUUCGCUUGAAGAAACAUUAUAAUAUCGUGAAAGGUGCCUGCCGCACCUUUGCUCAAUACACUCAUAUCUUGCCCAUGGACUGGAAGAUCAAAAGGAGCAAUCCAGAUGAUUGGUUUGUUCCUAACAAGAAUACUGGCUUGCAACCAAGAAGUCCUCAACACUCUUGUGGGGGCUAUGAUUACCAUAAUCCGUUGACAGUGUUCUCGCUCUAUACAAAAAAGAGAGGUGAUUAACUCAAGUGACGUUUUAUUCUUCUAUGACAAUUGAUGCAAUAUAGAGUUUAAACAAGUAUAUGAUACAUAAUUGUCAGGCCGGAUUGAAAAAAAAAACUGAUGUAACAUAAUGAUGAUUUGUACAUGCAUUUUAAGCGAGUCGAUUGUCACUUCUAUUUGAUUCAUGGGUAGCCUGAAACCCUGACAGGUUUUGAAUAUUACUAUUAUGACAAUGGAUGGUUGUCUUAACCUUCAGGCUUAAA
Molecule: RNA transcript, 1460 nt
Organism: Erigeron canadensis
Lineage: Eukaryota; Viridiplantae; Streptophyta; Magnoliopsida; Asterales; Asteraceae
Exons: 10
Source: RefSeq, a predicted model, not a curated record